Molecule: long non-coding RNA, 395 nt
Filed under: Lynx canadensis (Canada lynx)
Lineage: Eukaryota; Metazoa; Chordata; Mammalia; Carnivora; Felidae
Description: lncRNA (ENSLCNG00005018876.1)
Source: RNAcentral
GGGAUGUAGCUGUGCCGGUGCGCAAGCGCAGUCCGCUCGGGCCUGGCGCUCUGGCCCACCCGCGGAGGUCGUGGUGGUCACCUGUGAGGCCUGCUCGUCCGCUCCACUGUGGGACCUGGGGUUACUGGGGUCCGCCUCGGCCGGGUAGGGUCGGAGACUGAGGAGAACCUGACCCGAACCCACCGAGCUCGCGGGGAACCUCCGAGGCCUUCGAAGGCGGUGCCGGGAGUCGAGGACACUGAUGUGGUCUGGACCCACUGAUGCAUGGUGGCCAGAGCAGGGGCCACAACUUGAGUGACACACACAGGAUCUGAUGCUCUGAAGACCACAAGGUGGGUACCACGGCCCUGUGUGGAGGCCUCUCUGGGCCUGACAGCCGCCUGUGGAGACGGUUC